UACGAAGGGGGCUAGCGUUGCUCGGAAUCACUGGGCGUAAAGCGCGCGUAGGCGGAUUGUUAAGUCAGGGGUGAAAUCCUGGAGCUCAACUCCAGAACUGCCUUUGAUACUGGCGAUCUUGAGUUCGGGAGAGGUGAGUGGAACUGCGAGUGUAGAGGUGAAAUUCGUAGAUAUCAGGAGGAACACCGGUGGCGAAGGCGGCGACCUGGUCCUAUACUGACACUCAUACACGAAAGCGUGGGGAUCAAACAGG
RNAcentral lists this ribosomal RNA (253 nucleotides) under uncultured bacterium. Its description in RNAcentral is "partial 16S ribosomal RNA". It matches the Rfam family "Bacterial small subunit ribosomal RNA", at positions 524 to 776 of the family's 1533-position model. The record is from RNAcentral.